CAGAAGCCUGGCACACAACAAACAUCACUCAAAUUUAAUUCAAGUCUCAGCGAGGGGACAAGCUGGCCAUAGAGGGUAACACACAUGGCUCCCUGUGCAUCCCUCCUGUGCCUUCAAGGGAAAGACCACACUAUUCCUGGAAGACUCUGGAUGAUACUGCUAGAAAGCAAGCUGCCCUACGAAAUUAAUGCUCUCCAUGAUAAACUGGUUGGCGUUUUCUUCAUAUAGAGUCCCUGUGGGGUCUUCUCUCUGGCCUAAAACAGUGACUAACAGUGUUCUACAGUACAUAGGAAAUGCACCAUUUUCAAGAAUAUGCUGAACCUGAAAUAUAGACACAGUUCUGUAUAAAAGAAUGUUGACUGAGAAGACUAUUGGCCCCAUCUCCUAAUCAGCCACAAAUGCAAUGGAUGCAUUAUUCCCGUGCUGCUGUCAUCUUCAUCCAAUCACCUUCACCGACUAUUACCCAAGUCUUCCUCACACGAACCCUUUGGGAGACGCUUCAUAUACAAGUCAUAGCACGGUUGAUUUGUGCGGACAACGGAAGACGGCUGAAGUGGAAGCUAGAGGCUGAAGUUUCUGCUCCUUUCUGUUGUGCUGUUCUUCUUAUUCUUGGUCACUAACUCUGAGGAAAGUUAUGGCAUGAGUAGCUCCAAAGAAACAGUCACCUACUGAAGAUCUGAGGUCUCCUUCCAACAACCUGUAAGAGAGCUUGAGAAGUGAUCAUCCUAAGAGCCUUCUUAGCCAGCAGAGAUGGAGGAGGGCCUCCUGCGCUUCAAUCUGUGACAGAUCCUGAAUCCAAGACGCAACCAAUUCUUGACACUCAAAACUGUGGACAAAGAUGAACAAUGGGUGUUAAAACUGCUGGGUUUAGGAGUGAUUCCACUGAGGUUUGUAAGAGGAACAAAAGCCACACAGUGAAUAUUAGAAGAGUGGUUUGUUAGAUUGGCUGAGUAGUCAAAACCAAAAACAAAAAAACAAAAACAAACAAACAAACAAACAAAAAAGCUGUUCCCACACUGAGAGUCUGGGAAUCCAGGAACUUCAAAUCCUGGUAUGACACUGAAGAGCAGAAGAGUUGCUGGUCCUUGGUGCAUACUGGAGACCAAGAGAAUCCGAAUUCUCACAUGAGAGAAGGAAUACAGCAGCAACUGGUUAAAUCAACUCAAAAGAGGGUAGGCGAGCUCGCUGGUGAGACAGGAAGUCAAGUAGGGAAAAGGCAAAUGCUUUCUCCCCGAACUUCCUUUUAUCUUAACUGCCACCAUAUAGUCCACAUUUAGGAUGGGUUUGCUCACUUCCGCUAACCCUAUCAAGAACGUCCUCCACGGCGGUGCCCUGCUGCUUGUCUCUUAAUUGAUUCCAGAGCCAAUCAAGCCGAAGACCAAGAUCAACAAGCACACACAUCAGCAGACAAGUUUUACAUCACUACCGAAUGAUUUCGAUAUCUCUGUGAUGGUUUUUGAGGUCUUGGCUCGUGGGAAGGAAGCCUCCAUCCUCGCUCGGUGUGCAGGUAACAGGUAAAGAAGCAGCCGAGAGACUUUGUACAUGUUCUCUUGCCUCCAAGAGGACUGAUCUGUUUCCUUAGCAAGUUUCACCGACAACCUUCUCCUGUGGCCCUGAGAGAGAUACUUCUAGGGCUCUUUUCUUGACUGUAGAUAUUUCAGAGUCCCAUUGGACUCUGGAACAGGGGAGCCACCUCUCAUUGAGUCCUAAUGCUUUUUAUCAUUCCCCGCUUAGCUUUUCAUGCUAACAAACACAGUGAGACCUGUCUAGAACUAGGUGACAAAACCUUACAAAAGCUUUGGGGAAAAACACCGAUGAAAACCGACUACUACUUGUUGAGAAAUUUUAACUUAACCCUAGGCUUCCUGUGCAAUAACCUCAGAUUCUGAACUUUCAGCUCAGAAGAGAGCAGUCUGAGUCCUAACUCUGUCUGUUUUCAGUACCUAUUGCUGCAUAAGCUCUACCGUGCACUUGUUCAUCAUUGAUGGGAAAAGAAAGUUGAAAAGCAAGCUUUAUGUCUACUGGGUCCUGGGUAAAGAUCAGCGCUGGCAAAUACCAGCCUGUCAUAUUACCUUGCUCUCCUAUGUACAUUCCUUGAUGCUAGAAUGUAAUUUAAGUGAGAAAGGGCUUCUUCUGACUUGCAUUCUGAUAGGAUUAUUUCACUGUGGUUGGGAAGACAGCCAGAUAGCAAGGAAGGCAUGACAAACGGGAAGCAGGAAGCCGGCUGGGUCAUUCAUAUUACUCUUCGAGGCCCAUCCUCAGUGACCCAAUUCUUCCAGUGAGACUCUACCUUUUAAAGGUUCCAGAACUUUCCCAAAUAGCACCAUUAGCUGAAGACCAAAUAUUAGAAUAUGAGUCAAGGGGAAUAUUUCACAUUCAAGUCAACAAUACAUACUUAAAAGUACUAUUGCCCUAUGGAGACAGUGGGAAGAAAUCAUUUUCCCUACAACCUGCCAGUCAGUCAACCAGGAAAAGAAAGGAAAAAAAAAAAAAAAAAAAAAACCUCUCCCCUAUUUCCAACUUCCUCCUCCUUUCAGCCAAUAGGAAGGUCAAAAACAAAUUGAUACUCUACUCAUGAUCACAAAGCUGACAGACAAGCCCAGUCUGUAAGCACUUCUAAAAGGUCUCCUGGGGAGAUGCAAGACUUUUGCUUGCCUCUAGUUUGAAUGCUCAAUAAGAAGUAUAUUGCAUGUUCUGUCCCAUGCUUGUGAAGCCUUAGGGUGGGACCAAACUGCCUAACUAACUAUGUAUACGGUGAUAGAAGCCCCACUGCAGAAUAUCCUUGGACAAGCCAAAUGACCAAAGCGUCAUUGUCUUCA
Non-coding RNA from Rattus norvegicus (Norway rat), 2819 nucleotides. NCBI's taxonomy places the organism in Eukaryota, Metazoa, Chordata, Mammalia, Rodentia, Muridae. The record is from RefSeq and is a predicted model, not a curated record.